GUGCUGUAAGUCUGUUCUUUGAGUAGGCUAGUUGAUUUUGAGUUACGCAGUACAAUGAAUAUAGAGACGCGCAAGCAGCAUGGUGCGGCCGGCUUGACUACGCAUGCUUGGCUGCGCUACGCAUGAAAAAAAGCGUAAGCCGACUAGAAGCAGCUGCUCCUGCGGUGGACGAACAACGAAGCGUACUGCUCCCGCGCUCUAGACAAAUGUGCUGAGCGUUGUACAUGCCUUCUGCCGCAGACAAGCAAAUGGUGCUCUGACCCCGAACCCCUGUAUCGACCGGCGAGAGCUCUCAGGCAAGGGGUUACUGAUCCUUGCCUACUGUACAUGGAGAAGAAGUGGCCCGACUUUUCUGUCGGCCUCCGACCGCCAUAACGGUGGAAGGCAGCUGUCGAGCCUGCCAGGAUCCGCCAUCGCCUGGCAGACCCUGAUCCUCGCUUUCCUGUGAGACGAUAGCCCACUGGCCUCCAGCGAAGCAGAUGACAUAGGAGUGCUAUGCACACGGCCGUUGACAUGCCGUCUGACACACGGCGGUGUGUCAGCACUUUAUGGUCAAUUCUAUACCCCUCAGGGGGGGGGGGGGGGUUGUCGCUAACACUUCUUGGGUCGUUGCUGCAACUACCAGCCUUACCUUCUCUCCCCUUUGGAUGAACCCUAUAUAUACUGUGCCGAAUA
Long non-coding RNA from Dermacentor albipictus, 675 nucleotides. RefSeq lists it as uncharacterized. Lineage: Eukaryota; Metazoa; Arthropoda; Arachnida; Ixodida; Ixodidae. The record is from RefSeq and is a predicted model, not a curated record.